CCUUCGAUAGCUCAGUUGGUAGAGCGGUGGACUGUAGAGACAUAGGUCGCUGGUUCAAAUCCGGCUCGAAGGA
Molecule: transfer RNA, 73 nt
Filed under: Atta cephalotes
Lineage: Eukaryota; Metazoa; Arthropoda; Insecta; Hymenoptera; Formicidae
Description: tRNA LOC105616950-7
Rfam family: tRNA
About the family: Transfer RNA (tRNA) molecules are approximately 80 nucleotides in length.
Source: RNAcentral